UUCCCCAUGGCAACAGAUCCCUCCCCUGAAUGACAGGAUUUCCAUAUUGACAACUGGAAAAUGUCCCAAAUAACUCCAAGAAGCACCUGGAGUUUAAUCUCACGUCUUACCUCCAGAAGGAGUCUUUUUUAUUAUUUCUCACAUGUUAAAGUGAAGUUAUUUAUAUACCUUACAACUGACGGUGUGAUGACAGCCAAGCUAAGCAGAGAGUAUUUGAAAGAUUCGAUAAGCUGAACUUCCCUGGAAAUGGUAAACUAACGUCUUUCAGAAGAUUUCAAUGAUCUGCUUAAAAUAGAAUGCUGAUGCCCUGCUUCCUCUCCUGUCUACCGAGCUGGGAGUGCCCAGCAGGGAAAUCUGCUGACCGCAAGCACUCGAUGUACAGUUGGACAGCUUCACUCCUAGCCCUCAGAGUCAGAGAAACUCUGAAAGUGCAAAUAGAGGAGUCUCACCUGGUCAUAACUUGAAAUAUUUUAC
Molecule: long non-coding RNA, 474 nt
Organism: Chinchilla lanigera (long-tailed chinchilla)
Lineage: Eukaryota; Metazoa; Chordata; Mammalia; Rodentia; Chinchillidae
Exons: 3
Source: RefSeq, a predicted model, not a curated record